GGGCCCGCACAAGCAGAGGAGCAUGUGGCUUAAUUCGAUGCAACGCGAAGAACCUUACCCGGGUUUGACAUGCAGCUGCACGGCCUGCGAAAGCAGGCCUCCUUCGAGGGUGCUGCACAGGUGCUGCAUGGCUGUCGUCAGUUCGUGCCGUGAGGUGUUUGGUUAAGUCCAGCAACGAACGCAACCCCUGUGUCCAGUUGCCAGCGCGUAACGGCGGGAACUCUGGACAGACUGCCCGUUCACACGGGAGGAAGGUGGGGACGACGUCAAGUCAGUAUGGCCCUUACAUCCGGGGCUGCACACGUGCUACAAUGGCCGGCACAAAGGGAAGCGAGGCCGCGAGGCGGAGCCAACCCCCAAAACCGGCCCCAGUUCAGAUCGGGGUCUGCAACCCGACCCCGUGAAGUCGGAUUUGCUAGUAACGGCGCAUCAGCUACGGCGCCGUGAAUACGUUCCCGGGCCUU
RNAcentral lists this ribosomal RNA (464 nucleotides) under uncultured bacterium. RNAcentral's name for it is "bacterial SSU rRNA". It matches the Rfam family "Bacterial small subunit ribosomal RNA", at positions 917 to 1382 of the family's 1533-position model. The record is from RNAcentral.